This 492-nucleotide ribosomal RNA is filed under the name uncultured bacterium. RNAcentral's name for it is "partial 16S ribosomal RNA". It matches the Rfam family "Bacterial small subunit ribosomal RNA", at positions 29 to 507 of the family's 1533-position model. The record is from RNAcentral.
AGUGAACGCUGGCGGCAGGCCUAACACAUGCAAGUCGAACGGCAGCACAGUAAGAGCUUGCUCUUACGGGUGGCGAGUGGCGGACGGGUGAGGAAUACAUCGGAAUCUACUUUUUCGUGGGGGAUAACGUAGGGAAACUUACGCUAAUACCGCAUACGACCUACGGGUGAAAGCAGGGGAUCUUCGGACCUUGCGCGACUGAAUGAGCCGAUGUCGGAUUAGCUAGUUGGCGGGGUAAAGGCCCACCAAGGCGACGAUCCGUAGCUGGUCUGAGAGGAUGAUCAGCCACACUGGAACUGAGACACGGUCCAGACUCCUACGGGAGGCAGCAGUGGGGAAUAUUGGACAAUGGGCGCAAGCCUGAUCCAGCCAUACCGCGUGGGUGAAGAAGGCCUUCGGGUUGUAAAGCCCUUUUGUUGGGAAAGAAAAGCAGCAGGUUAAUACCCCGCUGUUCUGACGGUACCCAAAGAAUAAGCACCGGCUAACUUCGUG